GAGUUUGAUCAUGGCUCAGAUUGAACGCUGGCGGCAUGCCUUACACAUGCAAGUCGAACGGCAGCAUGAUCUAGCUUGCUAGAUUGAUGGCGAGUGGCGAACGGGUGAGUAAUACAUCGGAACGUGCCCUGUAGUGGGGGAUAACUAGUCGAAAGAUUAGCUAAUACCGCAUACGACCUGAGGGUGAAAGUGGGGGACCGCAAGGCCUCAUGCUAUAGGAGCGGCCGAUGUCUGAUUAGCUAGUUGGUGGGUAAAGGCCCACCAAGGCGACGAUCAGUAGCUGGUCUGAGAGGACGAUCAGCCACACUGGGACUGAGACACGGCCCAGACUCCUACGGGAGGCAGUCAGUGGGGAAUUUUGGACAAUGGGCGAAAGCCUGAUCCAGCAAUGCCGCGUGUGUGAAG
Molecule: ribosomal RNA, 405 nt
Filed under: uncultured microorganism
Description: bacterial SSU rRNA
Rfam family: Bacterial small subunit ribosomal RNA
Source: RNAcentral